Paramuricea clavata is the source of this 5651-nucleotide non-coding RNA. The record is from the annotation of a GenBank genome assembly. NCBI's taxonomy places the organism in Eukaryota, Metazoa, Cnidaria, Anthozoa, Malacalcyonacea, Plexauridae.
AGUUGUUGAACGUGUUGAUAACAGUGCAUCAUUAUUUGGACGAUCAAUUCUACAAGAUAACUUGUGCUUCCUUGUUAAAAGAGUAAGUUGUGUUAUCUACCCAAUAAUGCACAUGAAAAAAUACUCAAUUCUGAUUAGCAAAGAGUGCAGUGCAAUCAAAAACAUAAAAGCAGAGCUUGGAAGCGAGGCAGGAAAAAUCAACAUGGCCGAAGAUAUUAGCAUGUCAGCUUGAACUUUUUUGACUACUUUUUGUACACUUUCAUCGACUGAAAACGUUUGCCUUUGCAAUGAAAAUGUUGUAGGUGAGUUCACAGGUGUUAUCAAAGCGUGUAAUUUUUUCAUGUGCAUUGCAUCACCGUGUUUGAAAAUCUCACCCGUUCAUGAUUUUUCCAAAUUGCACUCGAAACCAUAUACUACUAUACCUAUACAAACUGUUUGUUAGAUAACUGGUAAACCUUUGUACCGUUUACAAACGUAUUUUAUGCACUCUCGUGAGUCGUGACCCUUCGCAAUCCGGUGACAAAGUUUAGCUCAAAUCCCUGGGAGGCAUAAAGAUCUUCAACUGUUGAGUAAUUUGGAAUUUACGGUGAUUUGGAGUCGGUGUUGUGAGCCCAUGAAUUCACGUGCCCUGAUUCCUUAAUGACAAAUAUUGCAUUUUUCAUGUUGGGGCUAUUUCCCAUCCGUUCAUUCCUGUGCAUAAUAAAUCCUUCAGCCGUUGGAAGUACAGUUCAUAUAUGCUCCAGUCUCAGGUUUUUAUUCCAUGGCUCGGUUCUAAUUCCCACCAGAAACCGUUCUGCGUUCAAUUGCGUUCUUUGUAUGAUGCAAUGCCUGAGAAUUUCGAGCGGAAGAUUAUAUACAAUUUUAGACCUAACCCAUGAGCAGGCCCUCUGGCAGGAAUCGAACCGGCGGCUCUGCGAUUCCGGUGCAGCGCUUUAACCAACUUAGCUACAGAGUAACCGCAAUUAGUAUAAUUUCAGUGUUGAAAAAUGACCUUUGAGCAUUCUGAUUAGCUCCCUCAGCAGUAACCCUGAGGCAAUAGUUACGGCUCAGACUGCUCUGAACAGUAACUAUUGAUUUUUUCUGUGUUGGUGUUGUGUAUACUCAGGUGAAUAAUAUGUUUGUGGGCUAGUAUUCCAAAGGUCGUAGGUUCGAUUCCCACCGUGGCCAGGCAUAUUUUUCAAGCUCGCCCGGUGUGGAUAUACACUCAGAGUAACUAUUGCUUUUCCCCAAAAAAUGGCUGAAAAUCAGACGGAAGUAAAUUAUUUAUGCAAAUUAUAUUCAUAAAAUAAACACGUGUAGUAGUUCUAUUUUUAUCAAAUAAAAGUUUUUCAAUACUGAAAUUACACCAAAACAAUCAGUCGGUGAUUACAAGCCUAACUGAGUAAUUGUUAAUGUUCUUGUAUAGUGGGUGGUGAUCCCAGUAUAAGGAAUAGGGUAAUCCCAGGGUAAAUAUCGAGAUUUUUUUGCCAUCUCGCUCGAUAUAUAAUCUUCCGCUCUAAAUUUCCAUCAACAAAAACCCAACUGUUAGUUCUAUCGAGCGAGAUGCCCACAAAUACUGAAAUGCUUCUAUAUGAUUUACAAGUAUUUAUAAUAUAGCAUUUGUAAAUUCUGAACGCUGAUUGGCUAACAGCCGUGUUGAUAUAACUCAAUGUCAACACGGAAAAUUUCUUUCUUUAUAUUUCUUUGUGCUAUAUUAUAAAAAGAAUAUAAAACAUUUUUCCGUAUUGAUAUACAGUUAUAUCAACACUCGUGUGGUUUGGUGCGGUUCUAUAUGAUAUUUAUUCAAGUAUAUAUCACUGAUUCAAUUUUGGUGCGGUUAAUUUUUGCUUCCAGAGUGAAACGAACAUCACAGUUGAUGCGAAAUCCAGUGACCACGCCUUGGUUUCCAAUAUCUUUGAAGAAAUGAAAUCCUUACUUAAAGAAUUACAAUGAUGAAAAUGGUUUGACAUUAUAUUUAUAUUGACCUAAUUAAAUCACCAAUGAAUAAUUAUAAUGAUUAAUAGAUUUCGAACUAUCCAAAAUUAUUUUCCUCGACCUUAAUUGGUGCAAUUUUUAUUUUCAAUUUUUACUGAUACUUUACGUGUGAAGUACAGACAAGUACAACUCUUGCGUUCUUUUAAUCAAAACACUGAUAUAUAUAUCAGUGAAUCGAAGCCUUAACUUUCCAUUCACAAACAUUUACUUUUGCAUCAUUGAUGCAACUAAUUGUAUAUUCAAUAAACGUGUAAGCUCAAUAAAAUAAAGGGCAAUCGUAUAGACAUGCAUAUAUAUAUUGAAUUGGUUGCAAUAGUAGUAACUGUAUCAUCAAUAUUCUGAUCAAUAGAGGAAUUCUCAACCGAAACAACAAUAAACACACGGACCUGUCGAUGCAGACAAACAACUAGCUGGUCAGAAAAGAGAAACAACAAUUCCUUCCCAACUUAUUAUAUUCCCGCUCAUAUUGUUGUAGUACAUUAAAAAUAUUAUUAUUUUUCGAAUAGUCAUUAGUUAGAGAACUGAGAUAAGGACAUUGGAUUUAUAGAAAACUACUGUAUAGGCGAUCCACAAGAAAUGUUGUCAACAUGACAUUUUUCACUUCAACUUUUUUUUCUGAAAGCAGAUAUUUAUAGACUGUCGUGCGUGAAAAACAUAAGGAAGAUCAGAAAUAUUUUAGCUUUUGAUUGAGAUAGUGUUAAUCUUCAAAUUGACAAAAAUGCCAUUGAGAUUUUCAGGGCGUAAAUAGACAUGAAAACUAUUUAUUUACAGUGGAUUACAUUGUCCACGUCCAUUUCAAGCUACUGUUUCGUGUGCACUCCAGCAAAUUUGGAAAGUGUCUAUAUACUAAAUCUAAACUAAAUCUCUAUUUUUAGAGUUAUAUAGCGCGAUUCCUUCCAAAACAUAAUAUUUUACUUGAAAUCAAUAAAAGUACGAUUUCACGAAUCCAAAUAAAAAACAACCAAAGACAGUUCAAAUUUAAAUGUGGGAAGAGAAAUGUACAAUAUUUAGUAUUGACUAGUGUACUGCACAUUGCCUUGACGCAUCCCUGUUAUUUCUCGCCACAAAAUGGAACGCAGUUGUUUCGAUAGCCGCGUCUGAGCUUCGCGUCCCAAUCAAUCAUAUACUACUGGAUUUUAAGUAAUCCUAGUGUAUAAAAAAUAAUUCAGGUAUUGUUUAUAAACAAAAACUGUUUUUUUAGUACUCGGUUAAUUCUGACCGGUACGGUUGCUAAAUGUUACUGUAUAUUUAUAUAGGUUUAUAUACAUUUCAUAACAUUUUUAUAAAUAUAAAGAUGUUAUCGAUCUUUGGAGUUACACUUGUUUUGUAUUUUGUUAAUUUGAAAAUAAAUAUGUUUUGUUUGAAUGUGCGCGUCACGAAGCUUAGCGUCGUAUACGUAUACACGCUCACUUCUAAUGACUUUAUAGUACAAGUUGUAAACACGGUCUAUUUCAGGCAAUUUCGACCGGUACUUGCGCAGAGAAUAACGCAUGUGUUUUGGUUAGAGAUAUUCGACAAAUAUACGAUUGAAAUUGCAUUUAAAGGGCAGCGCGGCGAACAAUGAUAAAGCAUUAUAUUUUAUUAGGUCUUCAAAUAUAUAGAUUGUAUUGUUUUCUUUUAUGUGACUUAUACCCCCUCCCCCCCCCGGAAUCUCCCCCCCCCCCUCAACCCUCUUGCACACAAAGUAUAGCUGAGCAUAAUGGCAAAAAUGAGGCUUCUCCGCAGGAAUCUCUUAUAGAGUAAGGGUAACCCUAAGAAAUGGCUGCGGAGGAGGCUAGGCCCACAUCGACGAAAUAUUUUUGUGGUCAGAAUAAGCUCUGUAUUCAUAAUGCCAUAAACCGGCAAUGAUAAGAUUACAUUUAAUAAUUAUUGAUAACCUUGUAACCUUCAUAUAUACUAAAAAUAUAUACUAAAGUUAUUUUAAAACUUUAAUUUGUGAUGGUUUAUACACUAGCUUGUUAGGUCGUGCUCCGAAGGUUGAUCUUCUACUUGCUUUAAAUUCCUUAUAUAAUUAUCAUCCAUAAUGACAAAAUCAUCCAUAAUCACAAAAUCAUUAUCUUUUCAAAACUGGCCGAAACAGGCCACUACUCUGAUAAGUGGUUUUCUGUGGGCGUUUGCAUGCAUGCACGAACCCGCACAAGACAAUAUUAAACCAGGCUGUUGAAUCUUUUGGUAAGCCACAAGAAAGAGAUUCGGUCUUUGUAUACAGCAAUACAAACACCGGACAGCUUUCAUGCAUAGCUUGAAAUACUCAAUAUGUACGAAAUUAUAAUAAAAUCACAGGGUCUCGUGCACGCCUGUAUAUUAACCAUGCAGUCAGUUUUGAAAUACAACUGAAAUACCACAAAAUUGUCAUGCGGAUAAGGUGGAUCUAGGCGACCAUCAUUUAAUUUAAUUAAUCUCCCAAAAUCUAGAACCCCUAAACGUGAUAGAAGAAGUAAAGUGCAUGUUAAUGAGGUUUAUAGAUUUCUCCUUUGUCCCAUAAAUGCCCAACGCGAUGAUAAAAAUAAUUGAUAGUAAUUUCCGUUGUUCGAAUCUUAAAACGUUCUUUUACGUUUUAAGACGCCUUUGGCUUUGAAUUUUGUCUUUGUUGAGACUCAACGAUCAUUUUCAAUUAAGAAAUGUUUAAGAGAUAAAUAUUUAUUAAAGUGUUUAUAUACUUACUAUAAAAACAUCUUUAAAAAUCUCUUCAUGGUGGUUUUGGUGUUUUUAGUUGUGAUGGAUAAAUUAAUUUUUCUGUAAUUUAAGCAUCUCUGCAUUGUCCAAUUGAUAAGGGAUCUGAGGCAAAAUAAUUCUAAGCUGCCUAAAAUAUCUAUAGUUCGAUAAGUUAUACGUAGGUUCUUGGAUACCGUUUCUCCAUGCACGCCGGAAACUUUCUUAUGUCCUCAUUACUAUGGCUUUGUUCAAACCAUAACUCGCAUACUAACAUUGUAACUUGUAUAUUACUCUUAUUUUAACGUAUUCAAGUAUAUUAACGUUGUAUACAGCUGAUUCAAUUAAGAUUGUCCUUCCAAAACCUUAAACUCUGAGCGCGCAAGGGAAGAGAGAUUUUCACGUAUUAGGCCCUUAAACUCAGGAAAAUUCCUUUUACAGCAAGUAUGUUUUCUGUCGUGAAUCUUCUAUAUGUCUUAGGUAUUCUUGCAAAGCCAAAUUUCAAAGUUUACGAGUCUAAAUAAGCUAUAACCCAUCAUUCCUUGCGCGCUCAGAGUUUAACUUAAGCUUUAAGUUUUUGGAAGGACUGUAUAUCAUGUGGCAUCAAGUGAAAUAUUAUACAAAUAAUGAAUGUUUAUGAGUGCAGUGGUAAAAAAUAUUUUCUUGAGGUGAAAGAUGGAAAAUUCUACCUCGCGAAAAUAUUUUUACUAUUGCACGGAAUAUAAACAUUCGUUUUACAUAACACCAAAAUAGAUCAAUUUUAUCGAAUUUUUAAUUGAAUAUCUGACAAAACAAAUACAUUGUUGAAACGUUUCCUUGAUGGAAAUUUCGAGUGUAAAUCCUAUAUACAUUUAUUAAAUCUAACCAGGAGCAGUUGGAAAAAUUCAUCUAUGUAGGCUCUCUGGCAGGAAUCUCGAACCUCAGAGGGCCAAUAGUUGCAUUUUCCCAACCGAUCCUGGUUUAUAGGUCCUAAUGAAUCUAUAAGAUUUAAAUGGAAUUUUGGUCAACAGUAUGAUCAACAGCAG